AGAAGCUUUGAUCCGUAGAUUUCCGAAUGGGGCAACCCAAUGUAUAGAGAUAUACAUUACCUAUAUAGGAGCGAACGAGGGGAAUUGAAACAUCUUAGUACCCUCAGGAAAAGAAAUCAAUAGAGAUUGCGUCAGUAGCGGCGAGCGAAAGCGCAAGAGGGCAAACCCAGUGCUUGCACUGGGGGUUGUAGGACUGCAAUGUGCAAGAGGUAAGUUUAGCAGAACAUUCUGGAAAGUAUAACCAUAGAGGGUGAUAGUCCCGUAUGCGAAAAACAAACCUUAGCUAGCAGUAUCCUGAGUAGGGCGGGACACGAGGAAUCCUGUCUGAAUCUGGGUCGACCACGAUCCAACCCUAAAUACUAAUACCAGAUCGAUAGUGCACAAGUACCGUGAGGGAAAGGUGAAAAGAACUGAGGUGAUCAGAGUGAAAUAGAACCUGAAACCAUUUGCUUACAAUCAUUCAGAGCCCUAUGUAGCAAUACAGGGUGAUGGACUGCCUUUUGCAUAAUGAGCCUGCGAGUUGUGGUGUCUGGCAAGGUUAAGCAAACGCGAAGCCGUAGCGAAAGCGAGUCUGAAUAGGGCGCUUAGUCAGAUGCUGCAGACCCGAAACGAAGUGAUCUAUCCAUGAGCAAGUUGAAGCUAGUGUAAGAACUAGUGGAGGACUGAACCCAUAGGCGUUGAAAAGCCCCGGGAUGACUUGUGGAUAGGGGUGAAAGGCCAAUCAAACUUCGUGAUAGCUGGUUCUCUCCGAAAUAUAUUUAGGUAUAGCGUUGUGUCGUAAUAUAAGGGGGUAGAGCACUGAAUGGGCUAGGGCAUACACCAAUGUACCAAACCCUAUCAAACUCCGAAUACCUUAUAUGUAAUCACAGCAG
Molecule: ribosomal RNA, 872 nt
Filed under: Campylobacter jejuni
Lineage: Bacteria; Pseudomonadati; Campylobacterota; Epsilonproteobacteria; Campylobacterales; Campylobacteraceae
Description: bacterial LSU rRNA
Rfam family: Bacterial large subunit ribosomal RNA
Source: RNAcentral